This 1078-nucleotide ribosomal RNA is filed under the name Bacillus sp. (in: firmicutes). Its description in RNAcentral is "bacterial SSU rRNA". It matches the Rfam family "Bacterial small subunit ribosomal RNA", at positions 72 to 1140 of the family's 1533-position model. The record is from RNAcentral. Lineage: Bacteria; Bacillati; Bacillota; Bacilli; Caryophanales; Bacillaceae.
UAGGGAGCUUGCUCCCGGAUGUUAGCGGCGGACGGGUGAGUAACACGUGGGUAACCUGCCUGUUUGACUGGGAUAACUCCGGGAAACCGGAGCUAAUACCGGAUAGUUCCUUGAACCGCAUGGUUCAAGGAUGAAAGACGGUUUCGGCUGUCACUUACAGAUGGACCCGCGGCGCAUUAGCUAGUUGGUGAGGUAACGGCUCACCAAGGCGACGAUGCGUAGCCGACCUGAGAGGGUGAUCGGCCACACUGGGACUGAGACACGGCCCAGACUCCUACGGGAGGCAGCAGUAGGGAAUCUUCCGCAAUGGACGAAAGUCUGACGGAGCAACGCCGCGUGAGUGAUGAAGGUUUUCGGAUCGUUAAGCUCUGUUGUUAGGGAAGAACAAGUGCAAGAGUAACUGCUUGCACUUUGACGGUACCUAACCAGAAAGCCACGGCUAACUACGUGCCAGCAGCCGCGGUAAUACGUAGGUGGCAAGCGUUGUCCGGAAUUAUUGGGCGUAAAGGGCUCGCAGGCGGUUUCUUAAGUCUGAUGUGAAAGCCCCCGGCUCAACCGGGGAGGGUCAUUGGAAACUGGGAAACUUGAGUGCAGAAUUGGAGAGUGGAAUUCCACGUGUAGCGGUGAAAUGCGUAGAGAUGUGGAGGAAGACCAGUGGCGAAGGCGACUCUCUGGUCUGUAACUGACGCUGAGGAGCGAAAGCGUGGGGAGCGAACAGGAUUAGAUACCCUGGUAGUCCACGCCGUAACGAUGAGUGCUAAGUGUUAGGGGGUUUCCGCCCCUUAGUGCUGCAGCUAACGCAUUAAGCACUCCGCCUGGGGAGUACGGUCGCAAGACUGAAACUCAAAGGAAUUGACGGGGGCCCGCACAAGCGGUGGAGCAUGUGGUUUAAUUCGAAGCAACGCGAGAACCUUACCAGGUCUUGACAUCCUCUGACAACUCCUAGAGAUAGGGCUUUCCCUUUCGGGGACAGAGUGACAGUGGUGCAUGGCUUGUCGUCAGCUCGUGUCGUGAGAUGUUGGGGUUAAGUCCCGCAACGAGCGCACCCUGAUCUAGUGCCAGCAUUCAGCUGGCACUU